RNAcentral lists this ribosomal RNA (1207 nucleotides) under Lasiacantha sp. 29 STC-2019. RNAcentral describes it as "partial large subunit ribosomal RNA". It matches the Rfam family "Eukaryotic large subunit ribosomal RNA", at positions 82 to 900 of the family's 3401-position model. Lineage: Eukaryota; Metazoa; Arthropoda; Insecta; Hemiptera; Tingidae. The record is from RNAcentral.
AGUAGCUGCGAGCGAACAGGGAGGAGCCCAGCACUGAAUCCCGUAGGCCUCGCCUACUGGGAGAUGUGGUGUUUGGGAGGGUUCGUUACACCCGACAUUGUUUGCACAGCGUCCAAGUCCAUCUUGAACGAGGCCACGGUCCCGAGAGGGUGCCAGGCCCGUAGUUGGCCUGUGCCGGUGUCUGGGUGAACCUCUCCUUAGAGUCGGGUUGCUUGAGAGUGCAGCCCAAAGCGGGUGGUAAACUCCAUCUAAGGCUAAAUACAACCACGAGACCGAUAGCGAACAAGUACCGUGAGGGAAAGUUGAAAAGGACUUUGAAGAGAGAGUUCAAGAGUACGUGAAACCGCUCAGGGGUAAACGGAAAAGACCCGAAAUUCCGAAAAGGGAGAUUCACGUCUGCUCGCGUGCUCGGCACUUGUCGCGUCUGGACGGCCAUUUGUGCCCCCGUUUGUGCGCAAGCUCAAGCGGUCGGGUCUGGUUGCCGGCGCGCAGGUGUUUCCCGAGCCGCGGCGGACCGCACUUCUCCCUUAGUAGGACGUCGCGACCCGCUCGUCCGUGGUCUACGGCUGAGCAAGACGCCUGACGCUCGCCCUUGGGUUCGCCCCAAUUGCUUGCGUCAGACUUGCUCGUGCUUCCUGGCCACGGUUUUUUUUUUACGAACGGUAUCGAAUACCGGUGUCGAGCCGCUUCUAAGCGAGACCUCUCGUACGGAAGCGUCCUAGGCAGAGGGCAAGGUUUCUGAGUCUCUAAAAACGUAAGUUUUGAAGCCAAGACGUUUGUUUUCUGUUCGUCUGGCUGAGCUCGGGCCUGUUGGUUCUCUGUCCUUGGGCUGGCUCAUUCCCAUUGCGCGGAGAAAGGCACCAGUCAGCGGCGAUCUAGUUUUGGGCUCUUUUCCGACCCGUCUUGAAACACGGACCAAGGAGUUUAGCGUGCUCGCGAGUCAUUGGGUGUUACAAAACCUAAAGGCGAAAUGAAAGUAAAGAGAGUCCUUUCGUGACUCUCGAGGGAGGAUGAGCUACUGCUCUGGUCGUUCUAACCGGCGGCUGAGCGUGUCUCCGCACUCCCGGGGCGACUCUUUCUCAUUGCGAGUGGAGGCGCACCAAGAGCGAGUACGCUGAAACCCGAAAGAUGGUGAACUAUGCCUUGCCAGGACGAAGCCAGGGGAAACCCUGGUGGAGGUCCGCUAGCGAUUCUGACGUGCAAAUCG